This 219-nucleotide unclassified non-coding RNA is filed under the name uncultured Rhodotorula. RNAcentral describes it as "sequence contains ITS2". Lineage: Eukaryota; Fungi; Basidiomycota. The record is from RNAcentral. RNAcentral also lists the same sequence under 1 other name.
ACUCUUCAACUCCCCAAUUUCUUGUAGAUUGUGUGGAAGUUUGGAUUUUGAAUGUUGCUGGCCCCUUGUGGGCGUAGCUCGUUCGUAAUACAUUAGCAUCUUUAAUUCGAACUCGGAUUGACUCAGUGUAAUAGACUAUUCGCUGAGGACACUUUGUAGCAAUACUUGGUGGCCGUGAUCAAUACAAGAGAAGCUUCUAAUCCCUCUAGUCAUCUUUGA